Molecule: unclassified non-coding RNA, 375 nt
Filed under: uncultured bacterium
Lineage: Bacteria
Description: contains 16S-23S intergenic spacer region
Source: RNAcentral
UCCGGCUUAUCACCGGCGGUUUCUUUAGAGUGCCCAACUAAAUGAUGGCAACUAAUGACAAGGGUUGCGCUCGUUGCGGGACUUAACCCAACAUCUCACGACACGAGCUGACGACAGCCAUGCAGCACCUUCACGGCAGCCCCGAAGGGAAGCUCCAUCUCUGGAGCGGUCCACCGCAAUUCAAACCCAGGUAAGGUUUUUCGCGUUGCGUCGAAUUAAACCACAUGCUCCACCGCUUGUGCAGGCCCCCGUCAAUUUCUUUGAGUUUCAACCUUGCGGCCGUACUCCCCAGGCGGAGAACUUAUCGCGUUAGCUACGACACCGAUUCGCUAAGCAAACCGACGUCAAGUUCUCAUCGUUUACGGCGUGGACUAC